Molecule: ribosomal RNA, 253 nt
Filed under: uncultured bacterium
Lineage: Bacteria
Description: partial 16S ribosomal RNA
Rfam family: Bacterial small subunit ribosomal RNA
Source: RNAcentral
GACAGAGGGUGCAAGCGUUAAUCGGAAUUAUUGGGCGUAAAGCGUACGUAGGCGGAUUAGUAAGUUGGAUGUGAAAUCCCUGGGCUUAACCUGGGAAUUGCAUUCAAUACUGCUAGUCUAGAGUACAGUAGAGGGAAGUGGAAUUUCCAGUGUAGCGGUGAAAUGCGUAGAUAUUGGAAAGAACAUCAGUGGCGAAGGCGACUUCCUGGACUGAUACUGACGCUCAGGUACGAAAGCGUGGGGAGCAAACAGG